This 253-nucleotide ribosomal RNA is filed under the name uncultured bacterium. RNAcentral describes it as "partial 16S ribosomal RNA". It matches the Rfam family "Bacterial small subunit ribosomal RNA", at positions 524 to 776 of the family's 1533-position model. The record is from RNAcentral.
UACGGAGGGCGCAAGCGUUGUUAGGAAUUACUGGGCGUAAAGCGCGUGUAGGUGGCUUGGAAAGUCGGGUGUGAAAUCCCGGAGCUCAACGCCGGAACUGCAUCCGAUACUGCCAAGCUCGAGUCUCGGAGAGGAUGGCGGAAUUUCCGGUGUAGAGGUGAAAUUCGUAGAUAUCGGAAGGAACACCAGUGGCGAAGGCGGCCGUCUGGACGAUGACUGACACUGAGACGCGAAAGCGUCGGGAGCAAACAGG